RNAcentral lists this ribosomal RNA (253 nucleotides) under uncultured bacterium. RNAcentral's name for it is "partial 16S ribosomal RNA". It matches the Rfam family "Bacterial small subunit ribosomal RNA", at positions 524 to 776 of the family's 1533-position model. The record is from RNAcentral.
UACGUAGGGUGCGAGCGUUGUCCAGAAUUAUUGGGCGUAAAGGGCUCGUAGGCGGUCUGUUGCGUCGGGAGUGAAAACUCAGGGCUUAACCCUGAGCCUGCUUCCGAUACGGGCAGACUAGAGGUAUGCAGGGGAGAACGGAAUUCCUGGUGUAGCGGUGAAAUGCGCAGAUAUCAGGAGGAACACCGGUGGCGAAGGCGGAUCUCUGGGCCAUUACUGACGCUGAGGAGCGAAAGCGUGGGGAGCGAACAGG